UAGGGAAUCUUCGGCAAUGGACGAAAGUCUGACCGAGCAACGCCGCGUGAGUGAAGAAGGUUUUCGGAUCGUAAAACUCUGUUGUUAGAGAAGAACAAGGACGUUAGUAACUGAACGUCCCCUGACGGUAUCUAACCAGAAAGCCACGGCUAACUACGUGCCAGCAGCCGCGGUAAUACGUAGGUGGCAAGCGUUGUCCGGAUUUAUUGGGCGUAAAGCGAGCGCAGGCGGUUUCUUAAGUCUGAUGUGAAAGCCCCCGGCUCAACCGGGGGGGGUCAUUGGAAACUGGGAGACUUGAGUGCAGAAGAAGAGAGUGGAAUUCCAUGUGUAGCGGUGAAAUGCGUAGAUAUAUGGAGGAACACCAGUGGCGAAGGCGGCUCUCUGGUCUGUAACUGACGCUGAGGCUCGAAAGCGUGGGGAGCAAACAGG
Molecule: ribosomal RNA, 429 nt
Filed under: Gemmatimonadota bacterium
Lineage: Bacteria; Pseudomonadati; Gemmatimonadota
Description: Gemmatimonadetes bacterium partial 16S ribosomal RNA
Rfam family: Bacterial small subunit ribosomal RNA
Source: RNAcentral